GAUGAACGCUGGCGGCGUGCCUAAUACAUGCAAGUCGAGCGAACGGACGAGAAGCUUGCUCCUCUGAUGUUAGCGGCGGACGGGUGAGUAACACGUGGAUAACCUACCUAUAAGACUGGGAUAACUUCGGGAAACCGGAGCUAAUACCGGAUAAUAUUUUGAACCGCAUGGUUCAAAAGUGAAAGACGGUCUUGCUGUCACUUAUAGAUGGAUCCGCGCUGCAUUAGCUAGUUGGUAAGGUAACGGCUUACCAAGGCAACGAUGCAUAGCCGACCUGAGAGGGUGAUCGGCCACACUGGAACUGAGACACGGUCCAGACUCCUACGGGAGGCAGCAGUAGGGAAUCUUCCGCAAUGGGCGAAAGCCUGACGGAGCAACGCCGCGUGAGUGAUGAAGGUCUUCGGAUCGUAAAACUCUGUUAGUAGGGAAGAACAUAUGUGUAAGUAACUGUGCACAUCUUGACGGUACCUAAUCAGAAAGCCACGGCUAACUACGUG
RNAcentral lists this ribosomal RNA (497 nucleotides) under uncultured bacterium. Its description in RNAcentral is "partial 16S ribosomal RNA". It matches the Rfam family "Bacterial small subunit ribosomal RNA", at positions 28 to 507 of the family's 1533-position model. The record is from RNAcentral.